GGGAGCGAUCAUACCAGUAUUAAUGCACCGGAUCCCAUCAGAACUCUUCAGUCAAGUGUGCUUGGGCGAGAGUAGUACUAAGUUGGGUAACCACUUGGGAAGUCCUCGUGUUGCAUCCC
Cucurbita moschata (crookneck pumpkin) is the source of this 119-nucleotide ribosomal RNA. The record is from RefSeq and is a predicted model, not a curated record. NCBI's taxonomy places the organism in Eukaryota, Viridiplantae, Streptophyta, Magnoliopsida, Cucurbitales, Cucurbitaceae.